Molecule: long non-coding RNA, 650 nt
Organism: Ornithodoros turicata
Lineage: Eukaryota; Metazoa; Arthropoda; Arachnida; Ixodida; Argasidae
Exons: 3
Source: RefSeq, a predicted model, not a curated record
GCGUACGGCAGCCAACGUCGUUACGCUCGCUCGCUUGUCGGCGUCACGCGGAAGCACAUUGCGAUACGUCCUGUGUGAGCAGACGGUUCGUAUCAGUACCUGCGUCAAGUAGGGAAAUUCUAUGCGGUGUAGAUAAAGCUGACACCGCGUAGGCAGGACGGCACAUCUACCAUGGAAACUUCAACGAGGACGCUAGUGCUUGUGCUGCUCGUACUGCUUUGCUCCAGUGUACUCCUGGAAGCGGGGCGCGUAGUCCGAAGUGCUGGAUGCCCAAAUCGCUCAUGCAGCGACGAUGGUGACUGCGCUUUCCUUUGUCAGUGCGUCACUGAUGCUUAUGGAAACGGGAGGUGCAAGGGGGACUGAAGAAUGUUGAAGGGCAACAAGGUGAAAAUCCGAUGUUGCGUCUGCGCCACCCACCUCCUUUUGCAUGUCGACAUAACCCAGAAACAAAUAUGAACUGAUUCAGCACAACAGCUCGAAGCGAAACAACAGGAUCAGGUCCAGCACCCUCAGAUUUUCUGCUAAGUACAAGGUGUUUCUUCGAGCUCGAGUACUCGGGCUCGCACUAUUGGCUCUUGCACGAGAAAAUAAACACUGAAUAAACGAACAGAGAAUUGGUUGGUGAUUGCCUUCUUGGCAUCCAAGCCUUA